This 1168-nucleotide long non-coding RNA is filed under the name Vulpes vulpes (red fox). RNAcentral describes it as "lncRNA (ENSVVUG00000000391.1)". The record is from RNAcentral. Lineage: Eukaryota; Metazoa; Chordata; Mammalia; Carnivora; Canidae.
GUAUAGAAAAAUCAUAAGCUAGUUUUUAAUUCUGGAAUACUUGAUGUUUAAACGUUUAUUCUUCUCAAAUUUGUUGGCAGUAAACCCAGUGCGCCGAAAACAGCCAGGUAUCUCUCCUUCAAGGCAAUCUGCCCAUCGUUAUUCAAAGUGCCAGAGGUUUAAAAAGUGUCUUAGCAUCAUCAUAUUUCAGACUGAAUUGGUUGCUCAAAACAGAAAUCAAAAAGAAGGUAAGAGAGAAAAGAAGAAGAUGAAGAAUUCUGCAAGAGAAAGUAGAGGCAGAGAAAGAAAGGAGAAAAAGAGGAAAUACCAUGGCAGAGAUGAGUCAACAGAUCAUUCCAGGUCUCCAGAUCAGUUUCAUUCUGAGGCUACCUUUGUUUGUUUGUUGUUUCAUUUUGUUUACGUUAUAUCUCUUUUUUGUCCCUGUCACUUCUUGUCACUUCAAUCAACCCAUCUGGUAAGUUCAUGGCCAACCCAGUCACUGGAUGCAACCCACGGUGCUUCAUUUAGACUCUUUGUUGGCCUGUAGAUCUAGGGCAUAUAUUACCAGCACUUCUUGUACUUACUCCAGCUGGAAAUGGGGAGUGAAUGCUCUCCUUUUUCCCUCCUCCACCUCUGACCCUCCUUUAGGCCUUUCUUGGUGUUCCUGGCCAUCUGCCUGACAUCCAGAGUUGCCUGCAUUCUGACAAGACAGAGUGGCUCACCUAGCUUCAGAACAACAUCAGAAGUGCCAACACAAAGUAGACCAGAUACACUAUCCAAAAUACCCCUCCGUGGUUAUUCCAAACCAGGACGAAGCCAGGAGUUGUUCCAAAAAUAUAUCACUAUAUUUUGGCCUGAGUGUCACUUCCCCACUUGGCAAGCUAGGGCUAGAGAAAUUGGAACAGAGAUUUCCUGUUAGCCUGUCUUAUAUUCUCUCCUUUCAGAUAUACAUCCUUUCAGAUANGAACAGAGAUUUCCUGUUAGCCUGUCUUAUAUUCUCUCCUUUCAGAUAUACAUCUUUUACUUGUCCCAUCUCUAAUAUGACACAGUUGCCUCAGCUUUUACAAUUAUUUAUAGCGUAUCAGAAAGGAGCAGAAGCUCUACAUUUUGUCUUUGAUCUGCCCCAGAAGAAUUUCAGCCAAACUGUUCCCUUCACACUAAACAAAUGUUAUUCAGUGAAUAAAUGAUC